CAGUCGCCGCGGUAAUACGUAGGUGGCAAGCGUUGUCCGGAAUUAUUGGGCGUAAAGGGCUCGCAGGCGGAUUCUUAAGUCUGAUGUGAAAGCCCCCGGCUCAACCGGGGAGGGUCAUUGGAAACUGGGAAACUUGAGUGCAGAAGAGGAGAGUGGAAUUCCACGUGUAGCGGUGAAAUGCGUAGAGAUGUGGAGGAACACCAGUGGCGAAGGCGACUCUCUGGUCUGUAACUGACGCUGAGGAGCGAAAGCGUUGGGAGCAAACAGGAUUAGAUACCCCUGUAGUCCCUGUCUCUUAUAC
This 301-nucleotide ribosomal RNA is filed under the name uncultured bacterium. Its description in RNAcentral is "partial 16S ribosomal RNA". It matches the Rfam family "Bacterial small subunit ribosomal RNA", at positions 509 to 807 of the family's 1533-position model. The record is from RNAcentral.